CAGAAAAUGACAGUUUUGAAGCCCCCAGUAUCUGCCAUCCAAACCCCCGUCAAAGCAGAAGCACCGAAAUUCCCCUUUGAAGAUCUUUCGCAUUCAAGCAGUGCCCAACCAACAGUUCCACGU
Lytechinus pictus (painted urchin) is the source of this 123-nucleotide long non-coding RNA. RefSeq lists it as uncharacterized. The transcript is spliced from 2 exons. NCBI's taxonomy places the organism in Eukaryota, Metazoa, Echinodermata, Echinoidea, Temnopleuroida, Toxopneustidae. The record is from RefSeq and is a predicted model, not a curated record.